UUUUUUUUUAAUCGUUUCUUUUUAAGGAUAGAUUCAAAUUGACAGAAAAGUUGCAAAGAUAGUGCAGAGUCUUGUUUUCCCUAUUGUGACAUCUUCCGUUGUCAUGGUACAUUUGUUGCAGCCAGAAACCAAUGCUGGUGCAUUACUGAACAUCCUGACUGAGGUCCACCUUAACCGGACUCCAUGCUUUAUUUGGAUUUUGCUAGUUUUUCCCAAUGUCCUUUUUCUGUUCCAGGACCCCGUCUAGAACAUCUCACUGCACUGCAUCAUCGUGUGUCCUCAGGCUCCUCCUGGACCUGAGGGUUUCUCAGGCUUUCUUUGUUUUUGAUGACUUUGGCAGUUUGAGGAGGACAGUGCGGUAUUUCUUAUAUUGAGAUGUCAUCUGCAUCAUGUGGACUAAACAAAGGGGACAUUUUGAUCCAGAAUAUUUAUCUCACCUGAGGAUGCUACAGAUUUCCUGGCAGUUAUGUUUAAGAUUCAAGAUUCUUUCUACUAGUUCUUCAGGGUAAACGCAGCCUUAAUUUCUGAAAUUGAAUAUUCAUGGAGAAUCUACUAUGUAUAACAUAUUUUGUGAUAAACUAAUGAUCAAGACGUAGCCUUUGCCCUAAGGAGGUAAACCACGGACAUGGAUAACAAUUUCAGAAAGUCAAAAGCUACAAGUGACAUAGAAUAGUUUACAGAAAAGUCAACAAGAGGCCGUACAAAGAUGAGACAAUUUCCAACUGGAAAGAUCUGGAAAGGUAUGUAGGAGGAGGGUGCCAACUGAGCUUGAAAAAUUUGGAGAUGCUGUUGCUGCUGGGUGUCAGCUCCUACCUGGAUUCGAACGUCAGGCAAUGAGACCACCACACUCGCUGGAAUUUUGGUGCACACGUGAGGUACAAGGUUUCACUUCAGCCUUACAAGGUGUAUUUUUAUCCUACUUUGAGAGAAAAGAAGCUGAGACACAGAGAGAAGAGAGUGCUAUACGUGAGUUUGCGAGUUGAGCAGAAGCUGCCCUGGCUCUUUGGGAUCUACCAGCACGAUUUCCCAGCUGCCCAGUGAAGAUCCUGACUGGCUGUGAGCCGCUCAGGAUGCUCUGACAACUUCUGGGUCAGAGGGGGAUGACCUGAUGACCUCUAAGGACCUUCUGACGUCAAGCAUCUGUGGUUCUUCAAGUCCAUACACUGAUAUCACUGUGUAUUGUGACUGUCUUCGGGCUUUGGAGGUGGGGAAUACAUCCCAAUACCGUGUUCAUUCAACAAGGCAUCGUAAGUGGGCAUUGUAAACACUGCAUUAGGAGCAUCAAAACCGUGAACACACAUCCUAAUGUUUUAUUUUGCUUUUUGACCCCAAGAAGUCAUGCAUUAAAUAUCAUAAAUAAAAAUAACAGUCUACUGCUCCUUCAAGGAGGUGGCUCAGAACUUCUCAGAUCUGAAGUGUGGGCUGUGCAUAGUGACUUCCUUCCAAGAAGUACAGUGUGGAAAGGGGAAAAGAGUGACUCUACCGUGAAGACACCUGACACACACGACCUCAGCCAGGUAAUCAAGGUCAACAUCAUCAGUGAUGAGUCAUGUUGACAGCACGCAUCCUGAUAUGAUGUGAUGGGAAUGGCACUUUACGAUCUGCUUCUCAAAACCCCAUAACCCCAGUCUAAUCAGUAGAGAAACAUCAGACAAACCCAAAUUGAAGGAUAUUCUGCAAAAUAUCUGACCAGCACUCCUCAAAAUUGU
This 1709-nucleotide long non-coding RNA is filed under the name Equus caballus (horse). Its description in RNAcentral is "lncRNA (ENSECAG00000048117.1)". The record is from RNAcentral. Lineage: Eukaryota; Metazoa; Chordata; Mammalia; Perissodactyla; Equidae.